UAGUCUGGUGCCAGCAGCCGCGGUAAUUCCAGCUCCAAUAGCGUAUAUUAAAGUUGUUGCAGUUAAAACGCUCGUAGUCGGAUUUCGGGGCAGGUUUGCCGGUCUGCCGAUGGGUAUGCACUGGUAGAACUGUCCUUCCUUCCGGAGACGGCGCCUACUCUUAACUGAGCGGGUGUCGGAGACGGAUCGUUUACUUUGAAAAAAUCAGAGUGUUUCAAGCAGGCAGCUCGCUUUUGCAUGGAUUAGCAUGGGAUAAUGAAAUAGGACUUUGGUGCUAUUUUGUUGGUUUCGAACACCGAAGUAAUGAUUAACAGGGACAGUCAGGGGCACUCGUAUUCCGCCGAGAGAGGUGAAAUUCUUAGACCAGCGGAAGACGAACCACUGCGAAAGCAUUUGCCAGGGAUGUUUUCACUGAUCAAGAACGAAAGUUAGGGGAUCGAAGACAAUCAGAUACCGUCGUAGUCUUAACCAUAAACCAUGCCGACUAGGGAUUGGAGGAUGUUCCUAUGUGACUCCUUCAGCACCUUUCGGGAAACUAAAGUCUUUGGGUUCCGGGGGGAGUAUGGUCGCAAGGCUGAAACUUAAAGGAAUUGACGGAAGGGCACCACCAGGAGUGGAGCCUGCGGCUUAAUUUGACUCAACACGGGGAAACUUACCAGGUCCAGACAUUGUGAGGAUUGACAGAUUGAGAGCUCUUUCUUGAUUCGAUGGGUGGUGGUGCAUGGCCGUUCUU
RNAcentral lists this ribosomal RNA (733 nucleotides) under uncultured eukaryote. RNAcentral describes it as "SSU rRNA". It matches the Rfam family "Eukaryotic small subunit ribosomal RNA", at positions 557 to 1295 of the family's 1831-position model. The record is from RNAcentral.